CCACGUAGGGCGCAAGCGUUGUCCGGAUUUAUUGGGCGUAAAGGGCUCGUAGGCGGUUUCGUAAGUCGGGUGUGAAAACUCAGGGCUCAACCCUGAGACGCCACUCGAUACUGCGAUGACUUGAGUCCGGUAGGGGAGCAGGGAAUUCCUGGUGUAGCGGUGAAAUGCGCAGAUAUCAGGAGGAACACCAUUAGCGAAGGCGCUGCUCUGGGCCGGUACUGACGCUGAGGAGCGAAAGCAUGGGGAGCAAACAGGAUUAGAAACCCCAGUAGUCC
RNAcentral lists this ribosomal RNA (275 nucleotides) under uncultured bacterium. RNAcentral's name for it is "partial 16S ribosomal RNA". It matches the Rfam family "Bacterial small subunit ribosomal RNA", at positions 523 to 796 of the family's 1533-position model. The record is from RNAcentral.